CUCUUCCAUUGCUCUGUCCCCAGCGCCGGCACUCUUCUGCUCAGUCUAGCCUCGCUCUGUCUCCCCGAUCUGCUCGAGAGCCUCCUGCACGCGGCGGACUCACUCCCCUCUGCCUCAGCUCACCGUCCUCCUGCUGUCGCACAGCGGCGAUACCACCACGACGCCGCUCGCUUCCUUUCACUGUACUCGUUAGGCCGGCGCUUCCCUUCGUGUCCGCCGUCGGCGCGAGGCGCCGGCUGGCGGAAGCUCUCCCCAAGGCCUCCUCUCCCCGACACGCAGUCGGAUGCUUCGUCCUCUCCCGCCACGACAUCGCCCAGCACAUUCUACCCCCCCUAUGGCUCUGCCCGCCGCUUCCUCUCCCCACCAUGAUCUUAUAUUUGGGCUAACCCCGUCGGUAUUCCCUUGAUCUACUCUAUUGACUAUUGCCGUCGUCCGGGCGGAGCUGUACGGCGCGCAGGGUACGGCGGCGGCAAGAUUUGUCUGGAUGGAAUCCCUAUGGUUGAUCCCAGUACACGCAGGACCCUAAGGAUUUAUCCCCUUGAUACACUCACGAAAUGGGAGGUUUUGGAUUCAACUGUAAUUGUGAUUUGUGCAAAGACUUUGGUAUACUUUGAAGCAAAGCUAACAAGGCUAAAGUCAAACAGCUAUGCCUCCAAUGCUUUGCUUGACACUGUGACAGUAGCAACAGUCCAGGGUGUAGGGGCAUAUAGGUGAGUUGAGCAGCGCGCACAGACAGAGCAAACAACCCAGACUGAAAAAGAGGAGAAUUUGGCACGAAAGGCCCUCUGCUGCCAACAAGAACAAGUAAGGUGAUAUCGGGUCCCCCUGUCGGAUCCCUUUGGAGGGUGUGAAUUCUUCAAGUUUGCAUCCAUUAAAUAAGACCGAGAAUUUGACUGAACUUACCAAGCCCAUCACAAUACCAACCCAUCGUUCUGAGAAGCCAAGCUUCAACAUAAUACCUUGAAGGUACUCCCACUCCACCCUGUCAUAUGCCUUCAUCAUAUCAAGUUUCAGUGCACAAGAUUGGUGUUCCUUUGCCUUGUUUCUUUUCAUAAAGUGCAAACACUCGUAAGCUGUAAUAAUAUUGUCAGAGAUGAGCCUACCCGGAACAAAGGCGGAUUGUUCCUCGGAGAUGAUAUCUGGGAGUACUUGCUUCAAACGGUUGGCAAUCACUUUUGAGGCUAUUUUAUAAAGUACAUUGCACAAGCUGAUGGGUCAGAAUUGUGAAAGUAGGUACCACUCUGGUGAUGUCAUCCCUGCAUACCUCCCACUGGCGUUGGAAAAAAUGUGCAGGGAACCCGUCCGGACCCGGUGCUUUGGUGGGAAACAUUUGGAACAAAGCCACCUUCACCUCAUCCUGACUAUAAGGUGAAUUCAAAAGCUCGUUCAUCGCCGGCGUCACCUUGCACGGAACCGUGUCCAAGACCCUAUUCAUGUCAUGCACGCCUUCAGAAGUGUACAGGUUUUUAUAGAACAUUGUAGCCAUCAUCUCCAUCUCCUCUCUGACUUCCGUGGUUUGGCCAUUCUCCUUCAACAGGGAUUUUAUUUGAUUUUUCCUGCGUCGUCGACUAGCACGAAGAUGGAAAAAAUAUGUAUUUUUGUCCCCGUGCUUAAGCCACUCGAUGUGAGCGCGCUGUCUCCAGAGAAUUUCUUCACGAUGAUACAAUUCCACCAGGCGAUCUGUAGCUUUUAUUUCUGCAUGGGAAGGUCCCAUCCGACCUGGGAUCUGGCGCCAUACCUGUAGCUGGCUUUUCAAUUGGCUGAUCUCCCUUCUCACAUUCCCAAAAUGCUCCCGGUCCCACUGGGAUAAGUCAGCCCCCAAGCUUUUUAAUUUAUCUGCUA
Molecule: long non-coding RNA, 1842 nt
Organism: Triticum aestivum (bread wheat)
Lineage: Eukaryota; Viridiplantae; Streptophyta; Magnoliopsida; Poales; Poaceae
Exons: 6
Source: RefSeq, a predicted model, not a curated record